AACGAACGCUGGCGGCAUGCCUAACACAUGCAAGUCGAACGAGACCUUCGGGUCUAGUGGCGCACGGGUGCGUAACGCGUGGGAAUCUACCUUUAGGUGCGGAAUAACUCAGAGAAAUUUGUGCUAAUACCGCAUAAUGACUACGGUCCAAAGAUUUAUCGCCUAAAGAUGAGCCCGCGUAAGAUUAGGUAGUUGGUGAGGUAAGAGCUCACCAAGCCGACGAUCUUUAGCUGGUCUGAGAGGAUGAUCAGCCACACUGGGACUGAGACACGGCCCAGACUCCUACGGGAGGCAGCAGUGGGGAAUAUUGGACAAUGGGCGAAAGCCUGAUCCAGCAAUGCCGCGUGAGUGAUGAAGGCCUUAGGGUUGUAAAGCUCUUUUACCAGGGAUGAUAAUGACAGUACCUGGAGAAUAAGCUCCGGCUAACUCCGUGCCAGCCGCCGCAGUAA
Molecule: ribosomal RNA, 449 nt
Filed under: uncultured bacterium
Lineage: Bacteria
Description: partial 16S ribosomal RNA
Rfam family: Bacterial small subunit ribosomal RNA
Source: RNAcentral